This 889-nucleotide long non-coding RNA is filed under the name Homo sapiens (human). Its description in RNAcentral is "non-protein coding lnc-ANXA2-3:1". Lineage: Eukaryota; Metazoa; Chordata; Mammalia; Primates; Hominidae. The record is from RNAcentral.
GCAGCCCAGGUCUUAACCUGAAUCAGGAUGAGGGGAUGGUGGGUCAAGGUGGGUCUGUUGAAAGUGCCCCUGCUUGCCACAUACCUGCACAUCCCACCCCCUCAGCUCUCCCUUGCCCUUCACUCAUGGCAGUCUUCAGGCAAGUUUUUCACUUAUAAGGGAUGGCCUAUCUUCUACCAAGACUCUGUGGAUGUGGUUGGAAGUCCAGAGAUAGUUGUUCUUUUACAUGGCUUUCCAACAUCCAGCUAUGAUUGGUACAAGAUGUGGGAAAGUCUGACCUUGAGAUUUCAUUGAGUGAUUGUCCUUGAUUUCUUAGGCUUUGGCUUCAGUAACAAACUGAGACCAUAUCACUAUUCCAUAUUUGAGCAGGCCAGCAUCCUGGAAGCGCUUUUGUGGCAUCUGUCUGUCAACUGGAGAUAUCUUUUCUGAGACUCACUGUCUACUCCUUCUUCAAAAGCUACUCAAACAUGGAGGUGUGCUGUCACCCAUCCUCACGCGGCUGAUGAACUUCUUUGUAUUCUCUCGAGGUCUCACGCCAGUCUUUGGGCCAUAUACUCAGCCCUCUGAAAAUAAGCUGUGGGACAUGUGGAAAGGGGUCCGCAAUAAUGACAGGAAUUCGUCUCUGACAGUCUCUUAGAGUACAUCAAUCAGAGGAGGCAGUUUAGAAAGCACUAGGUGGGAGCUCUUGCCUCUGAAACUAUCUCCAUUCAUUGUUAUCUAUGGGCCAUUGGAUCCUGUAAAUCCCUACCCAGAGUUUUUGGAGCUGUACAGGAAAAUGCUGCUGCAGUCCACAGUGUCAAUUCUGGAUGACCGUAUUAGCCACUAUCCACAGCUAGAGGAUCCCAUGGGCUUCUCUAAUGCAUAUAUUGGCAUCACCAACUCCUUCUGA